GGCCAGACUCCUACGGGAGGCAGCAGUGGGGAAUAUUGGGCAAUGGGCGCAAGCCUGACCCAGCAACGCCGCGUGAAGGAAGAAGGCUUUCGGGUUGUAAACUUCUUUUGUCAGGGACGAAGCAAGUGACGGUACCUGACGAAUAAGCCACGGCUAACUACGUGCCAGCAGCCGCGGUAAUACGUAGGUGGCAAGCGUUAUCCGGAUUUACUGGGUGUAAAGGGCGUGUAGGCGGGGAAGCAAGUCAGAUGUGAAAACCCCGGGCUCAACCUGUGGCCUGCAUUUGAAUCUGUUUUUCUUGAGUACUGGAGAGGCAGACGGAAUUCCUAGUGUAGCGGUGAAAUGCGUAGAUAUCAGGAGGAACACCGGUGGCGAAGGCGGCCUGCUGGACUGCGACUGACGUUGAGGCCCGAAAGCGUGGGGAGCAAACAGGAUUAGAUACCCGCGUAA
Molecule: ribosomal RNA, 450 nt
Filed under: uncultured bacterium
Lineage: Bacteria
Description: bacterial SSU rRNA
Rfam family: Bacterial small subunit ribosomal RNA
Source: RNAcentral